RNAcentral lists this ribosomal RNA (377 nucleotides) under uncultured bacterium. RNAcentral describes it as "bacterial SSU rRNA". It matches the Rfam family "Bacterial small subunit ribosomal RNA", at positions 523 to 898 of the family's 1533-position model. The record is from RNAcentral.
AUACGUAGGGGGCGAGCGUUGUCCGGAAUUACUGGGCGUAAAGGGUGCGUAGGCGGAUAUGCAAGUCCGAUGUGAAAUGCCUCGGCUUAACCGAGGAGCUGCAUUGGAAACUGCGUAUCUAGAGUGCAGGAGAGGGAAGCGGAAUUCCUAGUGUAGCGGUGAAAUGCGUAGAUAUUAGGAGGAACACCAGUGGCGAAGGCGGCUUCCUGGACUGUAACUGACGCUGAGGCACGAAAGCUGGGGGAGCAAACAGGAUUAGAUACCCUGGUAGUCCCAGCCGUAAACGAUGGGUACUAGGUGUUGCAGCUUUAGAUAGCUGCAGUGCCGUAGUUAACGCAAUAAGUACCCCGCCUGGGGAGUACGGCCGCAAGGCUGAA